RNAcentral lists this long non-coding RNA (245 nucleotides) under Elaeis guineensis (African oil palm). RNAcentral describes it as "long non-coding RNA (EGUI_LNC013209)". Lineage: Eukaryota; Viridiplantae; Streptophyta; Magnoliopsida; Arecales; Arecaceae. The record is from RNAcentral.
UAUUUCUUAUACCAUGAAAUUAAUAGAAGAACAUUGAGGAGGUCUUGCCCGUAGGCGUAGGCCAAUAAUUAGGUCGAACCACAUUAUAUCUGGUGUGCUUUCUUUUCUCUUAUUUUAUCACUUUAUUAUCUUCCUUUUAUUUUGUAUUCUAUGUUUGUUCAAGUUAUUUUUCCUCUACAAAAUGAUCUUGUUUCCACUGUGCUUGUGUGCCAUGUGGGUUGAGGUGUGUUCAGUUAUCCCUCGGC